Molecule: long non-coding RNA, 307 nt
Organism: Asparagus officinalis (garden asparagus)
Lineage: Eukaryota; Viridiplantae; Streptophyta; Magnoliopsida; Asparagales; Asparagaceae
Exons: 5
Source: RefSeq, a predicted model, not a curated record
CCCUCCCUCUUCCUUCUCUCUCCUCUCCCCUAUCGCUUAAGGUUCUGAAAGCACCGUCUACGACGUGAGGCUCGAUGGCCGGAGAGUCACCAUUAAAAAACCUGUCUUUUCCUCUUCAGACGACCUCGACAAGUUCCACAUAGAACUUCAACUGUGGUGAAUCAAGGUUUUGAUGUGUCACUGUCAGAUGCCAGUAGUGUUUUUGAUUCCAUAAAGUCGCUUAGUCAAAGUGAUGGAAGAUGGCGAUAUGAUUCUAGCAGUGCUGAAUCCAGCACUUAUGUUGCUGGGACAACACUUGAAACACUUG